CAGCCGCCACGGUAAUACGGAGGGGGCUAGCGUUGUUCGGAAUUACUGGGCGUAAAGCGCACGUAGGCGGCUUUGUAAGUCAGAGGUGAAAGCCCGGGGCUCAACCCCGGAAUUGCCUUUGAGACUGCAUCGCUUGAAUCCAGGAGAGGUGAGUGGAAUUCCGAGUGUAGAGGUGAAAUUCGUAGAUAUUCGGAAGAACACCAGUGGCGAAGGCGGCUCACUGGACUGGUAUUGACGCUGAGGUGCGAAAGCGUGGGGAGCAAACAGGAUUAGAUACCCCGGUAGUCCCUGUCUCUUAUAC
This 301-nucleotide ribosomal RNA is filed under the name uncultured bacterium. RNAcentral describes it as "partial 16S ribosomal RNA". It matches the Rfam family "Bacterial small subunit ribosomal RNA", at positions 509 to 807 of the family's 1533-position model. The record is from RNAcentral.